This 6570-nucleotide long non-coding RNA is filed under the name Nicotiana benthamiana. Its description in RNAcentral is "long non-coding RNA (NBEN_LNC027837)". Lineage: Eukaryota; Viridiplantae; Streptophyta; Magnoliopsida; Solanales; Solanaceae. The record is from RNAcentral.
CUCUCAAAUCCCCCUCGUCUCUUACCUUGAACCCUAGAGAUGCCUCCCCAAGUUCUAGCCACCUCCGCUGGCGGCGACCACUCAAAUGUCAAAUCUGAAUCCAUGAUUUAAAAAUCCUAAAACCCACAAAUAUACCCGACUUCACCCCAAAUGACCCUUCACCUCUUUCAUGCUCCAAACACAUUCUUGUUUCCCGUCAAAUUAGCUCGUCAAUGGUGGAGCAGAGGUCCGGAAUGCCCUAGUUCUCGCCUUGUGCAUAUUUUUUCUGUUUCAGCAAGGUUGAGUGAACCCAAACCGUCAUUAAUCGUUUGUCAUUUGUUAAGGACAAUCGAUUAAUGACCGUCAAAGGUUCACUUUCUUCUUCAAAAGGUUUAUUUGAGUUCAUGCGAGUUCUUGUUGAGGCAGGUUUGGGAUAAUUUCUUUGUGACAAUUAAUUUCCGUUUGAUCUUAUCUUUUGUUUAUUUCCAGUUUAUUUCUUUAGAAGUUUCGUUUCUUUUUUAAUUGCAUUACAUCUCUAGUUUUUAUAUUCAUUAAUUAGCUUGUCUGCUAAAUUAUUAAUGACAACCAGCUUCAUAGGGUUUGAGUGUAACUUGUUUUCAAUUCAUGAGAUUUUGUUCUAUGUGGUAUGUUUUAUUUUUAUGCUUGAGAAUUAAUUCUAGAACUGAAGCAUUGAGAUCAGCCAACUAUAGGUCAUUAGUUGCCUUAAUUCCUGUUUCAAGAGCAUUUUCUGAGUUCAUGUUUAUGUGUGAAGUGUCUUAGGUUUAAUUUAGACUAAUUCUUCAUGGUUUAAUAUGAUUAAACAAUUGUUUUCAAUUUCAUUGGUUUUCAAUCCAGCUGAAAGUGCCAGCUCGGUUACAUACUAUUUAUUGUGAUUGUGAACAUUCAGAACUUGGGGGGUGGUGUAAGUGUAUAAUUAGGAAAACCUUAGGGGUAGUUUUGGGGAUUGGUUUAACUUGAAGAACCUUUUAAUAACUUAUUGGAAAGCUUCUUGAAUGGACAACAGCCUAAAAUUAUUAGGGAAAACAGACUGCAAAUUGAAAAUAUAUGAAGGAAAAGGACAGCUGUCCAAAAACCAGUUUUGAAAGAUGCCAUGUGAGGGUAUUUUGGGAAAAUCUGAUUGCUUGCCUUGGAAGGCACACAACAGACCCCCAGCCUUAUAAAUGAAGCCUUUCUUUCACUCAACACACAGUUUUUACACCUUAGAAAAACUGAAAAAUAUAAGAAGAAAUACUGAAUUUCAGAAGCAAUUAAUUUCCUUCUGAAAAUUCCAAGAAAAGGUUCAAAAUUGUUUGAACUGGUUUUGGUUUCUUAGAUUUGGUUCCCUGAAUCUUCUAUUAAUAUAGAACUUCUGAAAAACUUCCAAAAUUGUGCAUCUGGUGGAAAAAUGGCUCGGAUUUGGGUUUAGAAGUUUGAUUUGAGUUGUUGGGAGUUGGUUUUUGGAAGUCUGGGUUGGUUUCAGUUGUGUAAACACUGUUAUAUUGCUGCUGAUACUGCUAUGUUGCUGUUGAUCCCUCAUUUUUCCUAUUUUCUUUGUUUUCCAUGUACAUGUUCUUGAUACUUGUAUAAUGUGAUGCUGAAGUUUGAAGCAUGAAAUGAAAAUGGAUGUUCAAAGCAUGACAUUAAGUUACCUAUUUAUAAUCUAAUUGUUUUUCUCUGAAUUACAUGGUGUUUUGCUUCUAGAUUAGCAACAUUUUCUAGUUGCUUUCAAGUGUAAUAACUGAGUUCCUGCCAUUGUAUCUAGCCUUGGGCUGUUAGGGUAUGGACUUGAUUUAUUUGAACAACAUCUGAGUUGUAUGGUAGUGUUAGAUUCCAAAUUAAUUUUAUGGUUGUUUGUUACAUUCUGGGCUUAAAUGGCUUUAGAGUCUAUUGUGUGGCUUAUGAGCAACAGGGAUGAAAGCGUUAACUGUCUGAUAUUGGUAAUUCUGUUGAAAAGCCUUGGUUAAGGCUUAAAGUUCAAUGCAAGUGCUUGUGAGUUAUUUUAGGAUUGUAUUCAAUUAAAAGUGGUUCCAUUCUGUCUCCCUGUCAUCAGUACUUGAACUCAUGAAUGAUAUUUGCUUUAGACUUGUGAUUUAACUUUGUAGUAUUGGGAGCCUGUUUCUCCAAUGAGUAUAUCAUUUACUUUGAGCAUGAAUGUAAGGUUGUUUGUAAAUAGGGAUUGUUUCAUCAUAUACUGCAUGGGCUUAAUAUCAUUAGUCCAGUUAUACUUAAUUUUCCCUUUCUUGGCGGGUUUUUCUUUUGAUUUGGGCUUUAUGUUGAGCCCAAUUACAUUCUUGUGUCAUGUUCAAACUAUUAUGAAUCGGUUGCUAGGCCCAUAGCCAACAAUGUGGGUUUUGUUAGCAAUAGCUCCAUGGCUUUCAAAUUUCAGAUUCGUUUGGGUUUAAAAGUAAAUGAGAAGUUCAAUUAGCCUUUUAAUAAAUUGACUAGACUCCUUUAAAUGAAUUUGGGAGGGGUGCCAUAUUAAGGACAAUAAUAGUUUAUGGCACUCAUAAUUUCAAGUAAGAAUUUUAGACGUUUAGAUGUGAAGCGUGCCAUUUUAAAUAAGUUAUAGUUAAUGGCCCUCAAGGUUUAGUUUGAGUUUUCCUUUAAAAUUGGAAUCGAGAUGCGUUGUGCCGAAUAAAAUUUCAAAAUGCAUGGCCCUCACAUAAAAUAAUAUUAACUCUCUAUCUCAGGAAUGUUAGGUAAAAUAUGUCGUGGACCACGGGUGCAUUUAUGUGACGUGGUUCAAGACGUUUUUAGAUGAAGUUGAAUUUUUUCUUAAAAAUUAAUUAAAUAAGCGGUUGAAGUUAAAAUUGAACUAUAGGUUAAAACAUAUAUUAAAAUCAGAUAAUAGGCCAAUUAUAGAAGUUGAGCGACUGUGCUAGAACCACAGAUAUCGGAAAUAUCUAACACCUUCUUCAGGGUUAAUAGAAUUUCUUGCCCAGAUUUCUGUGUUCGCUGACUAUAAAACAGAGUCAAUCUUUCAUCGAUUCGGGAUUUUAAACCGGUGACUUAGGAUACCAUAAAUUAUCCCAAGUGGGGACUCUGAAUUUUACAUAAAAAUAAUCUCGUUUCGAUUGUCACUUAAAUUGAAAAAACUCCUUUAUAUCUUCUCGGGUGUUGGAAAAAGGAUGUGUGACACUUGCAUUCAAAAAUGCUUUAAUAGAUCGCGUCUUUAAUAUAUGCAGAGGUUUUUUAUAAAAGAGGCUCAUUUUAUAUUAACAAUACUAAUGAAGAUGACGUCUCAUCUUCAUAUUGGUGCAAAAAUAUGAAAUAUGAGGUAAUUUGAAGAAGUUUUCUUUUUGAACUUCCAAAUAAGUAUUUAGGUACAACAGUUUCACAACUGCUUUCUUUUUCAGGCUUACAAGUACUGGUGUAUUUUCGUAUGAUUAAAUCUAUGGCCUUAACCUAAAAUCUCGUAGGAGUAUUCUAUAGGUUUUUCAACUCUUUACUGCCCAUUCUUUUUGCGAGCUUGAACACUUCGAGAAAUUGACAUUUCUUCAUGGGUUUUCCUUUGGCUAAGCUAUGCUUUUGUGGUGUACAUAUUAGUUUCCUGUGUACUCUUCCAUAUGCAUAGUCCCUCUAGUGUUUGAGCAUUGAAGCAUGAGAUUUCGAACACUAGAUCAGCUCCUUACUUCGGUCAUUUCCUUGAAAAACGAAAUACACACGGGGCUCGGAGGUAGCAUUUUAGAUGAUGACUGCUUAUCCCUUGCCAUUAGAAUUUCUAUAACCUAGAUCGAGAAUAAUUAAGUAUUCCGCUUGUCUUUCGGGUUUAACCUCAUCACCUAGCAUGGGCUAGCUUUUUGACUAUCAUCUAAAAUGGUUAGUAAAAUAUAAAUAAAAAAAGUAAAAAAAACUUCUAUGAUACAUGGUCGUGGGUGUUAACUUCUUCAGAAGUCAUACUUCUUCAAAUUUGGACUCAGCUUUCCUGCAUUCGCCGGUUGUGUGGAUCGAAAGACUUUUUUGAGGGCAAAGUCUCCAAUUUUGAAAUAUCGCAGGUUCGCCUUCCUGUUGCAGUACCGUUCAAUCAUCUAUUUUUUAGGCGCCAUCCAAAUCAAUGUUGCCUCUCUUCUGUUUUCUAUCAAAUCUAUGUUUACACAAAGUUCUUCUUCAUUUGUCGCUUCAUUUGUAUGCGUGUAACUUGUUCUUGGUUCCCCUAUCUCCACUGGAAUUAGAGCUUUAGUUCCAUAUACAAGAAAAAAUGGGGUUUCUCUCGUUCUUAUAUUUUUUGUCGUUUGGUAAGCCCAUAAUACCCCCGAUAACACCUCUAGCUACUUGCCUUUUGAUUCUUCCAAUCGCUUCUUUAGGUUGUUGGUGAUGAUGACCUUAUUUGUCGACUCUGCUUGACCAUUAGCUAGGGUGAUAAGGUGCCGAAGUGAUUCGUUUAAUCUUCCAACUUUUGAAAAAAUAAGUAACUUUAUUACCUAUGAAUUGCGGUCCAUUAUCACAAGAGAUUUUCUUUGGAAAUCCAAAUUGACAUAUUAUAUUUCUCCAAUUAAGUCAUAACCCUCCAGGUUGGCUUCAAUUAAAGUCUCGAGGCGAGUGUUCAGAAAAGCCCAGCUAACAUCUAGCAAUAACUUAUCCUCGAGGGCUUCGUAAUCCUUCUCCUUGAUCAGUCUCAGCUCUCAAUUCUCCUUUUUGUGCAUCCAGGGCUUCAUAGGCUAUCUUUAAAAGGGCAAGAAAACUUUCCAAGAACUAAAUUUUAUCUGUAGAGGUGCGGAGAUCUUCCUGAGCUUGAGUAAGUGUUUGAACCAAUUCACCCGCGUAAAUCUCUUUUUAAUUAAGGAGUUCUUUCAAAUCUCUUAUCUCUUCAGUAGCCUUGGAGAGUUGUUCAGCAAAGAGGAUUCCAGUCAGUCCUUAUCUUUCCUGACUUGAUUGGAAGAAGAUUUUUCAACUACUAACUCAGCGGAAACCAUUCUCAUUUGUUUCUCCAAACCACCAUUUUCUUCUUCAAGAACUUCCUUUUCAUUAAAGACCUUCAAGUUAAUUUUUUCAGUUAUUAGCCUUGGUGCGAAAUUCAAUAAUUUGUUGUUUAGUCUAAGAAACUCUUUUCAUAAGCUCUGUGCCAAUCAAAUUAAGCUGCAAAAAAUGUAGGGAAAAACGAGUCAUGAAUAAGGAAAAAUAAGGAAGGAAAUGUAAGUAAACUUAUACCUUCAGAGAAAAAUGAACGAUGUCAUUCAUUAUGGUCAGUGAACUAUAACUUUCCAGCUUCUUAUUCUCCAUGGGGCCUAACAAUUAGGGAUGUUCAUGGUUUGGUUUUUCCCUAAAAAGAAACCAAACCAAGUAAGUCGGUUUUUCAAAUAUUAGAACCAAACCAAACCAAUUAAGUUGGUUUUCUCAAUUCGGUUUAUAUCAGCUUUUUGGUUUUUUUUGGUUAUUUGUCGGUUUUUUCUUAAAUGUAAGACAUGCACUACCAAACACAUAUUCCAGCAAUCAUAUUUUCAAUGUAACAUAUUCUCUUGUUAUUUGUUAUGUGCUAUGUGGGGUUGGUGUAUAGGUAUGGUGACGGUUACCUAUGCGCCCAAGUCAAGCAUGGUUGUGAUGUCAUAUUUGUUAUUAAAUUGUGAAAUAAGAGAGCAAUUGUGAUAAUUACAUGAUACAAGAGACAUGAAGUGAAAGUUGAGAAUUAAAUGAAUUAAAAAGGAAUUUUGGUACUUUUCCCUUGCCGGGACCAUUUGUUGAGUUGUAUUCCCUAGCCGGGACAUAUUGUUGAGUUGUAUUUCCCUUACCGGGAUCACUUGUUUAAUUGGUAUCCCUUGCUGGGAUAUUCUGUCUUGAUAUACAUAUAUUUUCUUGCUCCCGUUUGGCUUUGACCAUUGUUUGGGAGAGGAAGAGCGAGUAAAAGCAUGAAGGGUGAUGCCGUGCACUGUUUAUUGAGAGUAAAAGCACGAAGGGUGAUGCCGUGCACUGUCACUGUUUAUUAAGAGUAAAAGCACAAAGGGUGAUGCCGUGCACUGUUUAUCGAGGGUAAAAGCACGAAGGGUGAUGCCGUGCCUUGUAUUUGAUAUUCAUGGUGAGAAAUGAGAGUAAAAACACGAAGUAUGAUGCCGUGCAUUAUAUUUGACUAUUUUGGUAAUGAAUGAGAGUAAAAGAGCGAAGGGUGAUACCGUGCAACCAUUGAAUCAUUGGCUUUCAUAUUUAAUUAUUAUUUAUUCAGUUUCAUCUCUUGAUUGUAGAAGUUAUAAUUGAACUGUUACUCCCCCAACAUUUCCUCUUCCCCUUUAUUUGCUUAAAUUCUUGCUCUCUUCCUGUUAUUACAUAUAUCUGCGCAGGUUGGUUGCGAUAUGUCCGGUUUAGCCUCGUCACUACCUCACAGAGGUUAGGCCGGGCACUUACCAACACAUGGGGUCGGUUGUGCUGAUACAACGCUUCUGUGCCGUUUUGUGCACAGGUCAGGACCCAGGCUACGGACCACAGCUUUAGACCGGGAGUGAUCCUUCAGUACACAGGCUCUGAGGUAGUUCGCUGGGGUUCGCAGGCCCCGGGUCUCCUUUAUCUAUUUCUUUCAGUUUGUUUUAUUGAAUCAAACAUACAUGUUAUGUAUUUUCGUUCAGACUAUUGUUUUUAGUACUCUGUUAGUAGUCCGUGAGUAGU